This 464-nucleotide ribosomal RNA is filed under the name uncultured bacterium. Its description in RNAcentral is "partial 16S ribosomal RNA". It matches the Rfam family "Bacterial small subunit ribosomal RNA", at positions 28 to 507 of the family's 1533-position model. The record is from RNAcentral.
GACGAACGCUGGCGGCGUGCUUAACACAUGCAAGUCGAACGAUGAACCGGUUUCGGCCGGGGAUUAGUGGCGAACGGGUGAGUAACACGUGGGCAAUCUGCCCUGCACUCUGGUAUAAGCCCGGGAAACUGGGUCUAAUACCGGAUACGACACUCCGAUGCAUCUUGGGGUGUGGAAAGUUCCGGCGGUGCAGGAUGAGCCCGCGGCCUAUCAGCUUGUUGGUGGGGUAAUGGCCUACCAAGGCGACGACGGGUAGCCGGCCUGAGAGGGUGACCGGCCACAAUGGGACUGAGACACGGCCCAGAAUACUACGGGAGGCAGCAGUGGGGAAUAUUGCACAAUGGGCGAAAGCCUGAUGCAGCGACGCCGCGUGAGGGAUGACGGCCUUCGGGUUGUAAACCACUUUCAGCAGGGAAGAAGCGAAAGUGACGGUACCUGCAGAAGAAGCACCGGCUAACUACGUG